Molecule: ribosomal RNA, 391 nt
Filed under: uncultured bacterium
Lineage: Bacteria
Description: bacterial SSU rRNA
Rfam family: Bacterial small subunit ribosomal RNA
Source: RNAcentral
AACGAACGCUGGCGGCAGGCUUAACACAUGCAAGUCGAACGCCCCGCAAGGGGAGCGGCAGACGGGUGAGUAACGCGUGGGAAUCUACCCUUUACUACGGAAUAACGCAUGGAAACGUGUGCUAAUACCGUAUGUGUCCUUCGGGAGAAAGAUUUAUCGGUAAAGGAUGAGCCCGCGUUGGAUUAGCUAGUUGGUGGGGUAAAGGCCUACCAAGGCGACGAUCCAUAGCUGGUCUGAGAGGAUGAUCAGCCACAUUGGGACUGAGACACGGCCCAAACUCCUACGGGAGGCAGCAGUGGGGAAUAUUGGACAAUGGGCGCAAGCCUGAUCCAGCCAUGCCGCGUGAGUGAUGAAGGCCCUAGGGUUGUAAAGCUCUUCACCGGAGAAGAUA